GACAGAGGGUGCAAACGUUGUUCGGAAUUACUGGGCGUAAAGCGCGUGUAGGCGGUCUCGUAAGUCGGGUGUGAAAGCCCUGGGCUCAACCCAGGAAGUGCACUCGAAACUACAGGGCUAGAGUUCUGGAGAGGAAGGUGGAAUGCUUGGUGUAGAGGUGAAAUUCAUAGAUAUCAAGCGGAACACCGGUGGCGAAGGCGGCCUUCUGGACAGUAACUGACGCUGAGACGCGAAAGCGUGGGGAGCAAACAGG
RNAcentral lists this ribosomal RNA (253 nucleotides) under uncultured bacterium. Its description in RNAcentral is "partial 16S ribosomal RNA". It matches the Rfam family "Bacterial small subunit ribosomal RNA", at positions 524 to 776 of the family's 1533-position model. The record is from RNAcentral.